UGGGGAAUAUUGCACAAUGGGCGCAAGCCUGAUGCAGCGACGCCGCGUGGGGGAUGAAGGCCUUCGGGUUGUAAACUCCUUUCAACCAUGACGAAGCGUAAGUGACGGUAGUGGUAGAAGAAGCACCGGCUAACUACGUGCCAGCAGCCGCGGUAAUACGUAGGGUGCGAGCGUUGUCCGGAAUUACUGGGCGUAAAGAGCUCGUAGGUGGUUUGUCGCGUCGUCUGUGAAAUUCCGGGGCUUAACUCCGGGCGUGCAGGCGAUACGGGCAUAACUUGAGUGCUGUAGGGGAGACUGGAAUUCCUGGUGUAGCGGUGAAAUGCGCAGAUAUCAGGAGGAACACCAAUGGCGAAGGCAGGUCUCUGGGCAGUAACUGACGCUGAGGAGCGAAAGCAUGGGUAGCGAACAGGA
Molecule: ribosomal RNA, 411 nt
Filed under: uncultured bacterium
Lineage: Bacteria
Description: bacterial SSU rRNA
Rfam family: Bacterial small subunit ribosomal RNA
Source: RNAcentral